RNAcentral lists this ribosomal RNA (432 nucleotides) under uncultured marine bacterium. Its description in RNAcentral is "bacterial SSU rRNA". It matches the Rfam family "Bacterial small subunit ribosomal RNA", at positions 360 to 804 of the family's 1533-position model. The record is from RNAcentral.
AAUAUUGCACAAUGGGCGGAAGCCUGAUGCAGCAACGCCGCGUGCGGGAUGACGGCCUUCGGGUUGUAAACCGCUUUCGCCUGUGACGAAGCGUGAGUGACGGUAAUGGGUAAAGAAGCACCGGCUAACUACGUGCCAGCAGCCGCGGUGAUACGUAGGGUGCGAGCGUUGUCCGGAUUUAUUGGGCGUAAAGGGCUCGUAGGUGGUUGAUCGCGUCGGAAGUGUAAUCUUGGGGCUUAACCCUGAGCGUGCUUUCGAUACGGGUUGACUUGAGGAAGGUAGGGGAGAAUGGAAUUCCUGGUGGAGCGGUGGAAUGCGCAGAUAUCAGGAGGAACACCAGUGGCGAAGGCGGUUCUCUGGGCCUUUCCUGACGCUGAGGAGCGAAAGCGUGGGGAGCGAACAGGCUUAGAUACCCUGGUAGUCCACGCUGUA